GGAAGUAUAGCUCAGUAGUAGAGCACAUGCUUAGCACAUAGGAGGUCCUGGGUUCAAUCCCUAGUACCUCCA
This 72-nucleotide transfer RNA is filed under the name Camelus bactrianus (Bactrian camel). It matches the Rfam family "tRNA". Rfam says of the family: Transfer RNA (tRNA) molecules are approximately 80 nucleotides in length. Their secondary structure includes four short double-helical elements and three loops (D, anti-codon, and T loops). Lineage: Eukaryota; Metazoa; Chordata; Mammalia; Artiodactyla; Camelidae. The record is from Rfam by way of RNAcentral. RNAcentral also lists the same sequence under 2 other names.